AGAGUUUGAUCAUGGCUCAGAAUGAACGCUGGCGGCGUGCCUAACACAUGCAAGUCGCACGAGAACGCUUCAGCUUGCUGAGGCAAGUAAAGUGGCGCACGGGUGAGUAACGCGUGGGUAAUCUACCUCCGAAUUGGGGAUAACAUUGCGAAAGCGGUGCUAAUACCGAAUAACAUCCCCGAGACUCCGGUUUUGGUGAUCAAAGGUGGCCUCUACAUGUAAGCUACUGUUUGGAGAUGAGCCCGCGUACCAUUAGCUUGUUGGUAGGGUAACGGCCUACCAAGGCUACGAUGGUUAGCUGGUCUGAGAGGAUGAUCAGCCACACUGGAACUGACACACGGUCCAGACUCCUACGGGAGGCAGCAGUGAGGAAUUUUGCGCAAUGGGGGAAACCCUGACGCAGCAACGCCGCGUGAGUGAUGAAGGCCUUCGGGUCGUAAAGCUCUGUCAAGUGGGAAGAAUCUGCCCGAUGAUAAUACCAUUGGGCACCGACGGUACCACUGAAGGAAGCACCGGCUAACUCCGUGCCAGCAGCCGCGGUAAUACGGGGGGUGCAAGCGUUAUUCGGAAUCAUUGGGCGUAAAGGGCGCGUAGGCGGUCUUUUAAGUCAGAUGUGAAAGCCCUCGGCUUAACCGAGGAAGUGCAUUUGAUACUAAGAGACUUGAGUAUGGGAGAGGGAAGCGGAAUUCCUGGUGUAGCGGUGAAAUGCGUAGAUAUCAGGAGGAACACCGGUGGCGAAGGCGGCUUCCUGGACCAAUACUGACGCUGAGGCGCGAAGGCGUGGGGAGCAAACAGGAUUAGAUACCCUGGUAGUCCACGCAGUAAAACUGUGAACACUAGGUGUAGCGGGUAUUGACCCCUGCUGUGCCGAAGCUAACGCAUUAAGUGUUCCGCCUGGGAAGUACGGCCGCAAGGUUAAAACUCAAAUGAAUUGACGG
RNAcentral lists this ribosomal RNA (938 nucleotides) under uncultured bacterium. RNAcentral describes it as "bacterial SSU rRNA". It matches the Rfam family "Bacterial small subunit ribosomal RNA", at positions 8 to 916 of the family's 1533-position model. The record is from RNAcentral.